CACGAGACUUUUGCUGUCAGAUUCCACCGAAACCAAGCCCAGCUGCUUCUCUUUUAUGUACUUUAGAGCUUUGAGCACUGCUAGGGUUUCUAUCUGCAGAACUGGAGCCGCCCGAACGAGCUUAGUGAAGCCAUCCACAAGGCUACUGGAGGAAUCCUGGACAACGCAGGCAACAGCUCCCUCCAUCGACCCCUCGCAGAUCGACCCAUCGACAUUGAGCUUCAAGGAUCCCACUGCCGGAGCUAUCCAGGCAUCCGGUUUAGUACCUCAAAAUAUGUAGUUGUUGCGCUCCUUCUAGACCUGCCAUAGGAUGUUUGCGACCAAUUCCAAGGACAGGAGGUUGAUUUCCGGGUGGCUCCAUAUACGUGCAGUCCAGGGAUAGAGUAGAUAAAUAUGUUCGGCCGUUUCCAUCUUAUGUCGGCAAAGGUCACAUAUCGGAUUAGGUAAAAAUUUUCUUUUCCAUAGGUUCUCCUUGGAUGGGAUGGCAUUUUGACAAACAUUCUACAUAAAAAUCUUCACUUUAGGGCUGGUUCGCAUCUUCCAUAGAGCAUUCCAUAAUUCUCGUGGUGUAUGGUAGGAAAGAAGAGGGAUGCUCCUUUGCAAUGUUGGCUGAUGCUCUAUCUCUUAACAGAUUAUAGCCAUUUUUAAUUGAAAAAGAUCCAUCCUUAGUUCCUAUCCAUAUCAGUUCAUCAUUUUUAACUUGACGAUUGAGUGGGAUUGCAAGGAUUUCCUUGGUGGUCUCUUCAUCAAAGAGGUUAUUCACCAGUUGUUCAUUCCAUUGUUCCGCUUCAAAAUUCAUGAACUUAGAAACUUGUUGUGGAUCAUUUCUAUUUGUUGGCCCUCCAAUUAAUCCUCUCUUCAACCAUUUAUCUGUUUUGAUGUUGACAUUUUGGCCAUUUCCAAUCGACCAUUUCACUGAAUCCGCUAUGGCCUCCCUUCCUACAAUUAAACUCUGCCACCCCCAUGAAGGCUUAGUUCCUUUCUUAGCAUGCCAAAAAUCUUUUCUACGGAAAUAGAGCCCUUUCAAUAGUUUACUCAACAAUGCAUUUGGAUUCUUGACCAACCUCCAAGCUUGUUUUCCCAAAAAAACCUUGUUAACAGUAAGUAGGUCUCUAAAUCCCAUUCCUCCCCGUCUUUCCUGAUUUUCAUGAUUUCCCAUCUCUUCCAAUGCAGACCAGCUUUUGUUUCACUACUUUUCUACCAUAAAUUAGCUAUUUUCUUCUCUAUAGCCUUACAAAUUAAAACUGGAAUUUUGAAGAUUGACAUGGCAUAUUGAUAUAACGCCCGCACCACUGACUUUAGGAGGAUUUCCUUACACGCUUUAGAUAUAAUUUAUUCCUUCCAGCCUUUCAAUUUCAUAUUUACCCUAUUUAAAAUCCAAGUAAACAUCUGUCUUUUUUAUGCUCCCCAAUCAGAAGGGAUUCCCAGGUAUUUGCCUGUCUUAUCCAGCUCUAGAACCCUUAAUUAUCUUGUCAUAUUAUCCCUUAAAGGUUGGGACAUUCUCUACUAAAAAAGAUACCGGACUUGUUUAGGUUUAUAGCUUAUCCUGAGGCAUAACAAUACUGAUUUAGAAUAGUUGCAACAUUCUAACAUUCCUGUAUGGAUCCUUCCAAAAAGAAUAUUGAAUUGUCUACAAAUAAUAAAUGAGUCAAAGUAGGGCAGAACCUAUUCAACUUAAUUCCUUUUAUACUCCCAUCCUGUAGAGCUUUACCCAUCAAAGAAGACAAGCUGUUAGUCACCAAAAUGAAAAGAUAGGGUGAUAAUGGAUCCCCUUAUCUAAUGCCUCUGAAAGGAUUGAAGAAAGGAAGGGGUUCACCAUUAAAUUUAAUGCUAAAAGUAACUAUAGUGACACAUUAUAUGAUCCAAUUUACCCAUUUUGCACAGAAACCCAUUUUCAGUAAGCAACCUUCUAAGAAUCCCAUUCUAUUCUAUCAUAGGCUUUCUGCAUGUCCAAUUUCAACACCACUUGAAAAUGUUUUCUCCUUUCCCUCAUUUUCAAUUGGAGUAAUACCUCCUGCACAAUAUAAAUGUUAUCUUGAAUCUGUCUUCCAUUGACAAAGGCACUUUGUUCCCCUGAAAUCAAUAUUGGCAGCCAUCUUUUCAGUCUGUUUGCGAAGAUUUUUGAUAUUAUCUUAUAUGCAAAAUUGCAAAAGCUACUAGGGCGAUAUUGAUCAAGUCUUUCUAGAUGUGGUAUCUUUGGAAUAAGAGUAAUAUGAGUUCUGUUUAGGGCUGGUUCUAAUAUUCCCGAAUGAAAAAAGCCCCUAACUUCCUCAAAAACAUCAGUUUUUAUUAGAUCCCAAUGGUGUUAGUAGAAAUUUCCAUUUAAACCAUCUGGACCCAGAAGCUUUUUGUUCACCAAGUUGAAAAAUAGCAACAUGAAUUUCUUCCAUGGUUACUUCUGCCACCAAACUUGCAUUAAUUUCAUUUCCAAUUAGUAUUGGGCAUUGAUCUAGUACUAGUUGGCAGUUUCUUGGCCCUACCGUAGUGUAUAACUCUUUAAAAAAGGAGAUGGUGAGGUGCUGAAGUUGUUGUUUUUCCCUUAUCCACUGCUCCAAUGAGUUUUUCAGCAUAGUAAUUCGGUUUUUCUGUCUCAUUUGAAUAGUUGCUGCAUGAAAAUAUUUUGUGUUUUUAUCUCCCCAUCACAGCCAAUUAAUUCGAGAUCUCAAAGCCCAUAACAUCUCCUCUCUUCUCCAUAAAGUUUCAAUUUUUUCUUUUGCGAGCUUCAUCCUAUUUGAUUCUUGAUUCAAACUUGCACUAUUUGUUAGGAAUUGGAGCUCUUUCUUUAGGGCUAAUAUGCAAAGAUGGCUGUUUGGGAACUUUCUCUUACUCCAUUCUUUCAAGGCAUGACUUACAGUUUGUAGUUUAUCCUUCAAGCCUACUUCACAAUUAUUUUGAGAUUGCCAUGCUUGUUGAACUAUUUCUCUGCAUUCUCCAUCUUCAAUCUAGAAGGCCUCAAACUGAAAAUCUAUUUUUUUCUUUUCAAAUUCAACACUGCUCAGCAAUAGGACUAUGGUUUGACCCUACAGCUGGGAGGGCGAACGCUUUAGCUUCCGAGAACAUGAGCCUCCAAUCUAGAGAACAAAACACCCUAUCCAGCUUUUCCUUGACCAUAUUAGCCCUUGCUCUGUUGUUUGAUCGGGUAAAAAGCACACACCCCUUGCAAUCUAUUUUCAUUAACAAACAAUCAUGAAUACAACUUUGUAAGGCCCGCAUUCUCUAAUUUUUUGCCAUCAUUUUGCCCACCUUCUCCCAAUAAUAAAGCACUUCAUUGAAAUCCCCUAAACAAACCCAUGGUAGGCUAUUAGUAAGACUAAUCUGUCUCAUCUUAUCCCAUAACUGUAAUCUUUCCCCAAACAUAUUAGGAGCAUGCACACAAAUAGCCUACAUUUUAGUUCGACUAUCAUGAUCUUCACAUAUCAAGUUUAUCAUUUCUUGUAAACUAGAUUCCACCUCUACAUCAACUUCUUCAUUCCAAAUCACUGCUAGUCCCCCGCAAUUCCUACCGGAUUCACCACAAAAGCUGUAUUUAAAUUUCAACUACCUUCUAAUACGAGAAAUCAUAUUCUCUUUGUUUUUUUUUGUUUCCAAUAACAGAACCAUAUCGGGCCUUUCAUGAGCCACCAUAGCUCUCAAAUUUUGGACUAUCAGUGUUGUGCCCAACCCCUGACAGUUCCAACAUAUAAUCCUCAUUUGUAACCCGGUGGCUUAUUUGGGCUAGCCACCAAAGCCCAUCCCAUAGUUCCUUAUGAAAGACUAAUAGGAGUAUCCUGCAGUUUUGCUUCAUCAAAGUCCACCAACUCUAGAGGAGUUGAGUUAUAAGGGGUGUACCUCUUUAAUUUCUUUGCUGGUGAACUCUUUAAAACCCUGCUUUCCUUCUUUGAUCCUCCUUUUUUUGUUGAGGAUGAUGAUUUUUCAGCCGGCAUAAGCUGCAUUUAUGUCUCUUCAUUGUUCAUUAUACCUUUUCCUUUACCCUGGUGCUAUUCCGCUUGGCAAUUAGGUACAAUAAUAUUCGCUUGUGCCCUGUUUUAUGUUUGAGGUGUUGCUGUGGAUUUUAUUGCUGUUUGCUCACCAGUGAAAACUACUAUUUGAGUGCUGUGGGCUGGAAGGUUACUUACUGCUUGUUCCUCCACCUCUUCAUCCUCCUAGUCACCAUAAAAGAUCUGCCAAAAUGGGCUGGUUACUUAUUUACUUGAGCUUUGACCCCCAAAGUUGGUUUGAAUAGGAGACACGGUUUUAACUGAAAUUUUUUAUUCCUUCGAUGUUUGAUAUAAUUUCGCAUUAUGUAUGCUGAAGUACUGUACUGUAUCAUAAAUCAUUUUCACACACGAGGAUGAUAGCAAGAGGACACUGUGCAUAAAAUUGUGUAAAUUCAAUGGUUGGGUGGUUUCAUGACCUGAAAAUCACGUCAUGGACAUUUUACACGAGUAAUAAGUGCCACAAAGUACUUGGAAUUUUUCA
This is a long non-coding RNA of Eucalyptus grandis, 4458 nucleotides long. RefSeq lists it as uncharacterized. NCBI's taxonomy places the organism in Eukaryota, Viridiplantae, Streptophyta, Magnoliopsida, Myrtales, Myrtaceae. The transcript is spliced from 3 exons. The record is from RefSeq and is a predicted model, not a curated record.